GGACCAGGAGAGCUCAGAGGUUCCCAGUGGUCAGUCUGCCCAGCAGCAUCAAACACACCUGGACUCCUUAUUUAAGCUGCUGGAGGAUAACAUCGUCACGUUUGUGAAGAGUGAGUUGAAGAAGAUCCAGGAGGUUCUGACUCCAGAUGACCUAAAAGGCUUAAUGAGUCAAUGCAAGGAUGGCAAUUUAUUGCAGGGUGAACAUGAGGAGCCUAGUGAAAGCAGCAGAGAAGCAUUUGUGAAGAUCACAUUGGAUUUCCUGAAGAUAAUGAAGCAGAAGGAGUUUGCUGAGUGUCUGCUGAGAAGAACCUCGCCUAGAAACUUCCAAUGGUGUCAACGUGAAUUUAAAUCUACACUGAAAAAGAAGUGCCAGUGUGUGUUUGAGGGCAUCGCUAAAGC
Molecule: non-coding RNA, 399 nt
Organism: Neolamprologus brichardi
Lineage: Eukaryota; Metazoa; Chordata; Actinopteri; Cichliformes; Cichlidae
Source: RefSeq, a predicted model, not a curated record